ACUUGAGUAGCUUAAUUUAGAGCAUGACGUUGAAGGUGUUAAGGUGAUUAUAUAUCUUCAGGUA
This 64-nucleotide transfer RNA is filed under the name Pyroteuthis margaritifera. Its description in RNAcentral is "tRNA-Phe". Lineage: Eukaryota; Metazoa; Mollusca; Cephalopoda; Oegopsida; Pyroteuthidae. The record is from RNAcentral.